CAAACACAGGCUUUAACAAGAUGGCGUCUGACGGUUAAGACGUUAUUGCAGGCGUCACAGUUCAGUGUUCUUAAUCUGUGCUGCCAUGUACACAUAUAUGUCCUUUAUUAGAUUCUAGUAAAUAGAGUAAACAUCGUCAAUAACUGUUUGCAUCCGGUUAUAUUAGUCUGAGCGCACUUUGAUUCUUCUCGGGCUAGCAUAGCUUGCUAGUUAGCUUAGCUUGUUAUUUGCUAACAAAGAGAGGCGGAAGUGAUCAAAACACAUCGCUAAGCAGAGAUGAAGUGUGAGUGUAAAGUGUUGUGAUUGUGUGAAAAUGUGCGAAAGAACAAUAGCAGAGUACGAGGAGGAACUUUGUCCAACACAAGAGGAGAAGGAGCGACAACAACAAAAACAUCAAGUUGUGUUACACAGAACAGACAUCCAUCAGCUGAUUGAACACCAAGAAGAAUGUCUCCCUCAUCUACAGGGGGGGCAGUUUCACUUUAGAGGAUCCACAGCCCUCACAUUUUAAAGAGGAAGAGGGGGGAGAGUGUCCUGUAGGGCAGGAGGAGGCGGAUCUCAGCAAGUUUCCAGUGACUGUUGUCUUUGUGAAGACUGAAGAGCAUGAAGACAAACCACCUGAGUCCUCACAGCGUCAUCACAGUCCAACAGACGUUGAAGAAGAACCUCUAACCCAUGAGCAGGAGAAACCAAAGUCCCCUCACAUACACAAGGAAGAAGAGGUACAACAAUACCAACACAUUAAAGAGGGAAGAGAGGAGCCACAGCCCCCCCACAUUAAAGAGGAAGACGAGACGCCACAGAUCCAUAAUGUUAAACUGACCCUUCACAUUAAAGGGCAAACGGAGGACCCACUGAUCUUACACAGCAAAAAUGAAGAAGAGGACCCACUGACCCCUCACAUUAAAGAGAAACAGGAGGACCCACUUUCCCCCUGCUUUAAAGAGGAAGAGGAGGACCAAGAGCCGCCGCAAAUUAAAAAGGAAGAGGAGGAACACACCAUCAGUCAGCCUAAAUGGUUGGAGGAGUUCCCAGUGACUGGUGUCCCUGUGAAGAGUGAAGAUGAUGAGGUCAAAGGUGAGAGUGAGGAAAGGGGAGGGGGGGAGCCUCCAAGCAGCAGCUCAACACAACACAUGACAACAGAAGCUGAUGGAGACCACUGUGGAGGAUCACAAGCAGACAAGCUCUUAGCUCCACUAUCAGAUAGUGAGGACACAACGUCACACUCUCCUGACACUGAUGAUGAAGACUCUAAAGAUGAUAAGACAUGUCACACUGACAACACACGCUUCACAUGUUCUCUCUGUGACAAAACCUUUAAAUACCACAGUCAUCUCAAAACACACAUGAAAAUACACACUGGAGAAAAACAUAUUCCCUGUUCAAUCUGUGGUAAAGGUUUUGUACAAAGUCCCCAUUUAAAAGUACACAUGAGAACACACACUGGUGAAAAACAUUUUUCUUGCUCAGUAUGUGGUAAAGGUUUUACACAAAGUCAAUAUAUGAAAGUACACAUGAGAACACACACUGGUGAAAAACAUUUUUCCUGUUCAAUCUGUGGUAAAAGUUUUGUAGAAAGUCGCAAUUUGAAAAGACACAUGAGAACACACACUGGUAAAAAACAUUUUGUUUGUUCAGUCUGUGGUAAAGGUUUUACACAAAGUCAGAAUUUAAAAGAACACAUGAGAACACACACUGGUGAAAAACCUUUUGUCUGUUCAAUCUGUGGUAAAGGUUUUAAAGAAAGUCGACAUUUGAAAAUACACAUGAGAAUACACACUGGUGAAAAACCUUUUAUCCGUUCAAUCUGUGGCAAAAGUUUUGUACAAAGUCCCCAUUUGAAAGUACACAUGAGAACACACUGGUGAAAAACCUUUUUCUUCCUCAGUAUGUGGUAAAGCUUUUGUUCUAAGUAAACAUUUGAAAGUACACAUGAGAACACACACGGGUGAAAAACCUUUUGUCUGUUCAAUCUGUGGUAAAGGUUUUACACAAAAUCAGAAUUUAAAAGAACACAUGAUAAAACACACUGGUGAAAAAACCUUUUUCCUGUUCAACCUGUGGUAAAGGUUUUACACAAAAUCAGAAUUUGACAAAACACGCUAGAACACACCCCUGUUAAAAAUCACAUUCCUGUUUAAUCUGCAACAUAAGUUUUUUUCAUCGAUAAACACAUGAGAAGACACCCAGGAGAGAAAAUGUUGAGUUGCAGUGUGUGUGGUGAAAGAUUCUCUUCUAAGUACCAGUGUAAGAAACACAAGUGUGCUGGUGAGAACAGCAGCAGCAAAUGAAAUUGCAGGAUUUUAAAUAAACUGUCAAGACUUUCAUUUUGACUUUCUAACAACAUCAGCACAUAUAACAUGUAUGACAUUAUUGUUUGUUUAACAAUCUGUUUAAUAUGCUUCUACAUUUAUGGAUUAGAUAUUUUAUAUUAGUGCUUUUUUCAGUCAAGCACAUGCAUUAAUAUGCAACAUUGUGUACUUUUGUUAAAAAAUGGACAGAACAAUUUGAGUAAAAAGGUGAGAGUAAACAAUAAAACACAUAUUUUUUACAUGCAAUAAACAUGUUGUGUGUAUGUUCACACACACACACACACAUAUAUAUAAAUGUGUGUGUGUAUAUAUAUAUAUAUAUAUAUAUAUAUAUAUAUAUAUAUUCGUCAUUAAAUUUUAGACUUAUUCAUAUGAAGUAUUGAAGUAUAACAUAUCUAAUUUCUAAUUGUUAAUAAUCCCAUAGAUUAGCACUUUUAUACGUUAUACAUAUUUACUGGUUCACAUCUGAAACAUCUUCUGGACCACUUCAGGAAGCAUAUUAUUAUUUACUUUAUACAUCAUUUGAACAGUUGUCCUUUGUACAAUUUUAAAAUGUGGAACUUUUUGAAUCAUCCGUUGGGUCUCUUUAAUCUAUUUUAUUCAUCAUUGUUAUUACUCUGUAUUAUGAUGAUUGUGUUGUGAUUGUUUUAUCUGUAUGUCCCCAGACCUUUAUGCACUAUAAAAGUGAGAAAAAUGGCAAAAAAAAAAAAAAAGUUCUGAAAGGAUGGUUUUGUUCUUACAAACUUACAUUUGUGCAUAUACCAAAUAAAUCCAGUAUUGUGUUUUAAA
Molecule: long non-coding RNA, 3101 nt
Organism: Nerophis ophidion (straightnose pipefish)
Lineage: Eukaryota; Metazoa; Chordata; Actinopteri; Syngnathiformes; Syngnathidae
Exons: 3
Source: RefSeq, a predicted model, not a curated record